UACGGGGGGGGGUAAGCGUUGUUCGGAAUUACUGGGCGUAAAGGGCUCGUAGGCGGCCAACUAAGUCAGACGUGAAAUCCCUCAGCUUAACUGGGGAACUGCGUCUGAUACUGGAUGGCUUGGAUUCGGGAGAGGAAUGCGGAAUUCCAGGUGUAGCGGUGAAAUGCGUAGAUAUCUGGAGGAACACCGGUGGCGAAGGCGGCAUUCUGGACCGACAUUGACGCUGAGACGCGAAAGCCAGGGGAGCGAACGGG
RNAcentral lists this ribosomal RNA (254 nucleotides) under uncultured bacterium. RNAcentral's name for it is "partial 16S ribosomal RNA". It matches the Rfam family "Bacterial small subunit ribosomal RNA", at positions 524 to 776 of the family's 1533-position model. The record is from RNAcentral.